AUAAUGGUACUUCCGUAACUCGCGGCCCGGUCACAAAGCAGACGGGGUGGCUGAAAUACCAAUGA
RNAcentral lists this non-coding RNA (65 nucleotides) under unclassified sequences. RNAcentral describes it as "pemK RNA". It matches the Rfam family "pemK RNA". The record is from RNAcentral.